This 250-nucleotide ribosomal RNA is filed under the name uncultured bacterium. RNAcentral's name for it is "partial 16S ribosomal RNA". It matches the Rfam family "Bacterial small subunit ribosomal RNA", at positions 524 to 773 of the family's 1533-position model. The record is from RNAcentral.
UACGGAGGGUGCAAGCGUUAAUCGGAAUCACUGGGCGUAAAGCGCGCGUAGGCGGCUUGAUAAGUCAGGCGUGAAAUCCCUCGGCUCAACCGGGGAACUGCGUUUGAUACUGUCAGGCUUGAGUGCCGGAGGGGGUGGCGGAAUUCCGGGUGUAGGAGUGAAAUCCGUAGAUAUCCGGAGGAACACCGGUGGCGAAGGCGGCCACCUGGACGGCAACUGACGCUGAGGCGCGAAAGCGUGGGGAGCAAAC